Molecule: ribosomal RNA, 562 nt
Filed under: uncultured Staphylococcus sp.
Lineage: Bacteria; Bacillati; Bacillota; Bacilli; Caryophanales; Staphylococcaceae
Description: bacterial SSU rRNA
Rfam family: Bacterial small subunit ribosomal RNA
Source: RNAcentral
AUCGUAAAACUCUGUUAUUAGGGAAGAACAAAUGUGUAAGUAACUAUGCACGUCUUGACGGUACCUAAUCAGAAAGCCACGGCUAACUACGUGCCAGCAGCCGCGGUAAUACGUAGGUGGCAAGCGUUAUCCGGAAUUAUUGGGCGUAAAGCGCGCGUAGGCGGUUUUUUAAGUCUGAUGUGAAAGCCCACGGCUCAACCGUGGAGGGUCAUUGGAAACUGGAAAACUUGAGUGCAGAAGAGGAAAGUGGAAUUCCAUGUGUAGCGGUGAAAUGCGCAGAGAUAUGGAGGAACACCAGUGGCGAAGGCGACUUUCUGGUCUGUAACUGACGCUGAUGUGCGAAAGCGUGGGGAUCAAACAGGAUUAGAUACCCUGGUAGUCCACGCCGUAAACGAUGAGUGCUAAGUGUUAGGGGGUUUCCGCCCCUUAGUGCUGCAGCUAACGCAUUAAGCACUCCGCCUGGGGAGUACGACCGCAAGGUUGAAACUCAAAGGAAUUGACGGGGACCCGCACAAGCGGUGGAGCAUGUGGUUUAAUUCGAAGCGACGCGAAGAACCUUACC